CCUUUUAUUGAUCACUACCUAUGGCCAUAUAAAUGAGAUCUGUGACUCGGUCCACUCUAAACAUGCGUACAGAAAGCACAUUUUAUCCAAUGCACAUAUGAAAUAUGACGGUACAAAACAGACGGAACGAUGACAUAUAUGGAUGAUUGGACGCUGCAACUAACUUGGAUAUCGCUCCAGUCCACCGAGCGGACAAACUUAGAAACAGAAAGCCCACACCAAUCGCUUCUCCUGCAACUGUAUAGCAUGUGUAGGAGUUAAAAAUUGAGGUAACGUGCACAUACAGCAGAGUUAUUCAGCUAGAAAAGCACAGACAUACAUCAUUGUCAGGUUACACAGCUGAAUUCUGCUUCCUGACCCUCCUGAUUCAGACAUCUGGCACAUAGAUGGGUGUGCCUCAUAAGUCGUGAAUCAGAUCACAGAAAAGACAGACGAACAGGAUUGGUAACUUAUAAAUUGACUGGAAGGGCAGACUGGAUGCCAUCAGUGUACAGCUUGCACCAGUUGGUUGGUGCGCUACCCCUCGAUCUGAAUGUGAGUAGAAAAUUCGAACACCUCAUGAAGUGUCAUUUUGAUAUACUAAAGUGCAUUUCAGCAGGAAAAGCACAGAAUAAGUACUUGCAUGUCCUUAAGAACUCCGACAUUUUGGGUCUGCGCAUACUAUUAUCAGAGAUUAGGGGCACAUAUUUUCAGAAUUAGCACAAAUUAGGCAGCGCAACAACAUAUUUGUUACACUGAUUAGCAGAGUCCUCAUGCUAAGAAAAUGUGGAACCAUCAUAUUAAUGGCUAGCUAGGAUCAUAUUUGCAACCUGGGAACUUGGUAUGCUGGGUCCAACACGCCUGGUGAAAGCAUAUUUCCUCUGAUAUGCACAUAUGAACUGAUGUGACUGCUACAAAACAGAAGAGGCAGUGAGAUAUAAGGAUGAUCGGAGACAGUGACUGGAUCUGGAUAUUGCUCCAGUCCACCGAGCGGACGAACUUCCUAGGAGCUCUCUUCUCGGACAUCGAAGGGAAACGAAACUUCCACGCAAAAUUGCUUCAACUUCUCAGACAUAGAGCGGCGUAGGCGGAAAUUUGAUGAGUCUUUGAAGUAACAUCCACAGAAAGCACGGAGUAAUUCAGCUAGCAAAGCACAAACCUAUACAUUAGGGUCUGUCAGGCUAGACAAGUGAAUUCUGCUUCAAGGAGCUGGGUGCAGAUGGGCGCGCCCCUUAAAUUCACGUGAAUCGAAUUGCACCCGACGAGACGAGGAGCUCGGAGACCUUCUCGUGGAGACCAUCUGCGACUGCGAGGGAUGUAAAACGGGAGGUCAGAAGAGGAAACAUUAGAGGUUGGGGGUGGGAAGGAGGGGGGAGGGGAACGAGUGAGUGCCUUGAGCGGAGGCGGCGGUGGAGGGGGUCUUGGAGGGCGCGGAAGCCCGGACGGAGGCGAGCCUGAGUCGGCGAGCGGCCGCGGCCCGAGGCGGUCUGGCCGGCGAGGAGGACGAACAAGGGAGAGGACGACGCAAGAUCCGCGAAAUGUGGGUUGGGCUUGUG
This 1535-nucleotide long non-coding RNA is filed under the name Triticum aestivum (bread wheat). RNAcentral's name for it is "long non-coding RNA (TAES_LNC000282)". The record is from RNAcentral. Lineage: Eukaryota; Viridiplantae; Streptophyta; Magnoliopsida; Poales; Poaceae.